Molecule: long non-coding RNA, 543 nt
Filed under: Setaria viridis
Lineage: Eukaryota; Viridiplantae; Streptophyta; Magnoliopsida; Poales; Poaceae
Description: long non-coding RNA (SVIR_LNC007248)
Source: RNAcentral
AGAAUUCCACUGGAGGCCUUGAGGCAAUACAACAAACACCUUGUGUGCAGGGUGGAGCAAGGAUCAAUUCGUAACAUUGUUAGUGGCUGACUUUGCAAGUAGAUCUUCUCUCCUUUUCUGAGUCCUUCAUCUCCCUCUAUAACCUGCGUCUUGACACAUCAAAUUACUGCCUGUAAUCACCUGUAAUUUUGCUUUCUUGAAAGCAUGGGGCGUGGGUUCCUUCCUCUCUUCAUGACUUGCUUUAGCGGCACCAGGUUGAGAUCGUGGUGCGCUCCCAGGACCCGGAUCGGGCGGAUUCUUGUAGACAUCUUCCAGAAUGCUGGCUACUUUCAACUUUAGGCCAUCUACCCUCUGUCUUAGGAUCCGGAAUAGAACUACAAGAUCACUUGAUAUUUCAGUAGCUCUAUUGGCUCUAUUUCGGGUUCCUGCAUGGUCUUGAGAUUUUGCUUGGAUGGGUUUGACGCUUUCUCUUUGGUGGUUCGAUUUCUGUUGGUUUCGGGUUUCAUGGAAUUGGCUAUGGCGAUCUACAAGAUGGGGUUUCAG